UUGAUCCUGGCUCAGAAUCAACGCUGGCGGCGUGCCUAACACAUGCAAGUCGAACGAGAAAGUGGAGCAAUCCAUGAGUAAAGUGGCGACCGGGUGAGUUACACGUGACCAAUCUACCCUUGAGUGGGGGAUAACCUCGGGAAACCGGGUCUAAUACCGCAUAAAAUCUCUGGAUCGGAAGAACUGGAGAUCAAAGGAGUAAUUCGCUUAAGGAGGAGGUCGCGGCUGAUUAGCUAGUUGGCGGGGUAAUGGCCCACCAAGGCAAAGAUCGGUAGCCGGCCUGAGAGGGCGCACGGCCAUACUGGAACUGAAACACGGUCCAGACUCCUACGGGAGGCAGCAGUGGGGAUUUUUGCGCAAUGGGGGAAACCCUGACGCAGCAACGCCGCGUGGAGGAUGUAGUCCCUUGGGACGUAAACUCCUUUCGACCCGGACGAUAAUGACGGUACUGGUGGAAGAAGCCCCGGCUAACUUCGUGCCAGCAGCCGCGGUAAUAAGGU
RNAcentral lists this ribosomal RNA (500 nucleotides) under uncultured Acidobacteriota bacterium. RNAcentral describes it as "bacterial SSU rRNA". It matches the Rfam family "Bacterial small subunit ribosomal RNA", at positions 13 to 529 of the family's 1533-position model. The record is from RNAcentral. Lineage: Bacteria; Pseudomonadati; Acidobacteriota.